RNAcentral lists this ribosomal RNA (450 nucleotides) under uncultured bacterium. Its description in RNAcentral is "partial 16S ribosomal RNA". It matches the Rfam family "Bacterial small subunit ribosomal RNA", at positions 354 to 796 of the family's 1533-position model. The record is from RNAcentral.
GUGGGGAAUUUUGGACAAUGGGCGCAAGCCUGAUCCAGCAAUGCCGCGUGCAGGAAGAAGGCCUUCGGGUUGUAAACUGCUUUUGUACGGAACGAAACGGUCCGGGUUAAUACCCUGGGCUAAUGACGGUACCGUAAGAAUAAGCACCGGCUAACUACGUGCCAGCAGCCGCGGUAAUACGUAGGGUGCAAGCGUUAAUCGGAAUUACUGGGCGUAAAGCGUGCGCAGGCGGUUUUGUAAGACAGGCGUGAAAUCCCCGGGCUCAACCUGGGAAUUGCGCUUGUGACUGCAAGGAGGGAGUGCGGCAGAGGGGGAUGGAAUUCCGCGUGUAGCAGUGAAAUGCGUAGAUAUGCGGAGGAACACCGAUGGCGAAGGCAAUCCCCUGGGCCUGCACUGACGCUCAUGCACGAAAGCGUGGGGAGCAAACAGGAUUAGAUACCCGUGUAGUCC